UACGGGGGGGGGCAAGCGUUGUUCGGAAUUACUGGGCGUAAAGGGCUCGUAGGCGGCCAACUAAGUCAUACGUGAAAUCCCUCGGCUUAACCGGGGAACUGCGUCUGAUACUGGAUGGCUUGAGUUCGGGAGAGGGAUGCGGAAUUCCAGGUGUAGCGGUGAAAUGCGUAGAUAUCUGGAGGAACACCGGUGGCGAAGGCGGCAUCCUGGACCGAUACUGACGCUGAGGAGCGAAAGCCAGGGGAGCAAACGGGG
Molecule: ribosomal RNA, 255 nt
Filed under: uncultured bacterium
Lineage: Bacteria
Description: partial 16S ribosomal RNA
Rfam family: Bacterial small subunit ribosomal RNA
Source: RNAcentral